This 278-nucleotide ribosomal RNA is filed under the name uncultured bacterium. RNAcentral describes it as "partial 16S ribosomal RNA". It matches the Rfam family "Bacterial small subunit ribosomal RNA", at positions 442 to 737 of the family's 1533-position model. The record is from RNAcentral.
GGGAAGAAAAUGACGGUACCUGACUAAGAAGCCCCGGCUAACUACGUGCCAGCAGCCGCGGUAAUACGUAGGGGGCAAGCGUUAUCCGGAUUUACUGGGUGUAAAGGGAGCGUAGACGGUAAAGCAAGUCUGAAGUGAAAGCCCGGGGCUCAACCCCGGGACUGCUUUGGAAACUGUUUAACUAGAGUGCUGGAGAGGUAAGCGGAAUUCCUAGUGUAGCGGUGAAAUGCGUAGAUAUUAGGAGGAACACCCGUGGCGAAGGCGGCUUACUGGACAGU